UACAGAGGUCCCAAGCGUUGUUCGGAUUUACUGGGCGUAAGGGGUGCGUAGGUGGCGGGGUAAGUCUGGUGUGAAAGCUCCGAGCUCAACUCGGAAAAGCAUUGGAAACUAUCCCGCUGGAGGGUCGGAGGGGAGACUGGAAUUCUCGGUGUAGCAGUGAAAUGCGUAGAUAUCGAGAGGAACACCAGUGGCGAAGGCGAGUCUCUGGACGACUCCUGACACUGAGGCACGAAAGCUAGGGGAGCAAACAGG
This 252-nucleotide ribosomal RNA is filed under the name uncultured bacterium. RNAcentral describes it as "partial 16S ribosomal RNA". It matches the Rfam family "Bacterial small subunit ribosomal RNA", at positions 524 to 776 of the family's 1533-position model. The record is from RNAcentral.